GCAGAGAGCCAGAGGGAGGCAGAGAGACAGAGGGAGGCAGAGAGACAGAGAGAAGCAGAGAGAGCCACAGAAGCAAUGGAGCACCAGAGAAAACUGCAGGAGAUCCACAGACUCAAACAACUGCUGGAUCUACUGAUGGUGGACCUACAACUGGCCCACUCAAAGAAAGAGAGAGAAGAUAAGAGGCAACGAAAAGAGAGGAGAUGAAAGAAGGGAGAUCCUUGAGAAGAGGGGUGAGUUAGAGGACACUGAAGAGGAGGAGGAGAAGGACGAUAACAAGGAGGACAUUCUCCCACCUGAUAAAAGUAUCAGAAGGAGAGCUGUGGGCUGGGUAAACAAGAAGUGGGAGAAGAGGAACCUCAGAAAGAUAGAGAGAACGUAUCAGAGAGAGGCUGAGGAGGGCUAUAAGAUCGUCCACAUAGGUAAGACCUGUUUUCCCUCUACUUAUGACAUCAUCCUCUUUAGUCUCCUCUACAAACAUACGUUCCACACCAGUCAUCAUGUUGCAUCAUUGUUUCAAUAUAAAACUAUUGUCCAAAAUGGUCAAGCUGAUCUGGUAUCAACUUAAAUGUAAUGUACACAGGGAAUCUAGAAUGGAAAACUCAACUGGAUCUCAAUGAUCUAAAGUAGUGCAUCAUAGCCUUUUGAGGCCCUAAGAAACAUUUUGUUCAGGUUUUUGACUACAUUUCCUCCCAAUCUACACUUUGCAAUGGGGCGUAGAGAACAUAUUGCAUUUUUCAAGCAAGUUUGCUGCAAUUCUACACAUUUUCCCAUGGGGCUGAAAGAAAUUUUUGACUUAUGGCAUGUUAAGAUAAAAUCUGAAUGAAAUUGACUAACAAAAUUAAUGGGGGCUCACUGUAGUUCAAGGCCCCUGGGUAAUUUGACCAAAAAAGGUUUUUGGGGGGAUCAGGGGGCCCCUAGUUGCCAUGGGGCCCUAAGCAAUCGCAUAUGCCUAGGGCCAGCCCUGGCACUUUACCAGAGAACCAGCUGGAGGUGCCAGAGAACCAUCAGCGGGGGCCAAACAGCCAGCAGCUAGAAGCUCCAGAAGAGGCUGAAACAUCAGAGCCAAUCUCCAACACAAAGACAAAGAAAAAGCCAAGCAUCUGGAAGAAAAUUAGGAUGGGUCAACAAGUGAUGAGCCAGAUCAACCAAUCAACGUCACUGCAGCUGUUCUACCCACCACCCCCACUGCUCUUCCUCCACCACCAACCUCAUCCUCUUCUCCUGUUCAACUCAUUUGAAAGGACUGUACACUAGAAAGGACUGUACAUACAGUUGAUGUCGGAAGUUUACAUACACUUAGGUUGGAGUCAUUAAAACUCAUUUUUCAACCACUCCACAAAUGUCUUGUUAACA
This is a long non-coding RNA of Oncorhynchus kisutch (coho salmon), 1356 nucleotides long. RefSeq lists it as uncharacterized. NCBI's taxonomy places the organism in Eukaryota, Metazoa, Chordata, Actinopteri, Salmoniformes, Salmonidae. The transcript has 3 exons. The record is from RefSeq and is a predicted model, not a curated record.